This is a ribosomal RNA of Pteropus vampyrus (large flying fox), 112 nucleotides long. The record is from Ensembl. NCBI's taxonomy places the organism in Eukaryota, Metazoa, Chordata, Mammalia, Chiroptera, Pteropodidae.
GUCUAUAGCCGUGCAACCCUGAACAUGCCUAAUUUUGGAAGCUAAGCAGGGUCAGGCCUGGUUGGUACUUAGAUGGGAGACCACCUAGGAAUACCAGGUGCUGCUGUAGGCA